AGAAUCAACGCUGGCGGCGUGCCUAACACAUGCAAGUCGAACGAGAAAGUGGAGCAAUCCAUUAGUAAAGUGGCGCACGGGUGAGUAACACGUGACUAACCUACCCUUGAGUGGGGGAUAACCUAGAGAAAUCUGGGCUAAUACCGCAUAAUACCUUCGGGUCAAAGGAGCAAUUCGCUUAAGGAGGGGGUCGCGGCCGAUUAGUUAGUUGGCGGGGUAAUGGCCCACCAAGACUAUGAUCGGUAUCCGGCCUGAGAGGGCGCACGGACACACUGGAACUGAAACACGGUCCAGACUCCUACGGGAGGCAGCAGUGGGGAAUUUUGCGCAAUGGGGGAAACCCUGACGCAGCAACGCCGCGUGGAGGAUGAAGCCCCUUGGGGCGUAAACUCCUUUCGAUCGGGACGAUAAUGACGGUACCGAGAGAAGAAGCCCGGCUAACUUCGCGCCAGCAGCCGC
This 459-nucleotide ribosomal RNA is filed under the name uncultured bacterium. Its description in RNAcentral is "SSU rRNA". It matches the Rfam family "Bacterial small subunit ribosomal RNA", at positions 26 to 518 of the family's 1533-position model. The record is from RNAcentral.